ACAUGCCUACAACAUAGCGUUAAUGCACUGGAUCCCAUUAGAACUCCGCGGUUAAGCACACUCAAGCUAGAGUAGUACUGGGAUGGGUGACCGCCCGAGAAGUCCUAGUGUUUUACAUGCC
Non-coding RNA from Picea glauca (white spruce), 121 nucleotides. The record is from Rfam. Lineage: Eukaryota; Viridiplantae; Streptophyta; Pinopsida; Pinales; Pinaceae.